This 407-nucleotide ribosomal RNA is filed under the name uncultured bacterium. RNAcentral describes it as "partial 16S ribosomal RNA". It matches the Rfam family "Bacterial small subunit ribosomal RNA", at positions 28 to 526 of the family's 1533-position model. The record is from RNAcentral.
GACGAACGCUGGCGGCGUGCCUAAUACAUGCAAGUAGGACGCAGUUGCGAACGGGUGAGUAACGCGUAGGUAACUACCUAUUAGAGGGGGAUAACUAUUGGAAACGAUAGCUAAUACCGCAUACUAGUAGAUGGACCUGCGUUGUGUUGGCUAGUAGGGAGGGUAAUGGCCUACCUAGGCAACGAUACAUAGCCGACCUGAGGGGGGUGUCGGCCACACUGGUACUUGGACACCGGCCAGACGCCUACGGGAGGCAGCAGUAGGGAAGCUUCGGCAAUGGGGGGAACCCUGACCGAGCAACGCCGCGUGAGUGAAGAAGGUGUUCGGAUCGUAAAGCUCUGUUGGUAAGGAAGCGGUACUUAACCAGAAAGGGACGGCUAACUACGUGCCAGCCGCCGCGGUAAUAC